UCCCUACUGGCUCAGAUGGUAAAGCAUUUGCCUGGAAUGCGGAAGACCUGGGGUUCGAUCCCUGGGUUGGGAA
This 73-nucleotide transfer RNA is filed under the name Ovis aries (sheep). It matches the Rfam family "tRNA". Rfam says of the family: Transfer RNA (tRNA) molecules are approximately 80 nucleotides in length. Their secondary structure includes four short double-helical elements and three loops (D, anti-codon, and T loops). Further hydrogen bonds mediate the characteristic L-shaped molecular structure. tRNAs have two regions of fundamental functional importance: the anti-codon, which is responsible for specific mRNA codon recognition, and the 3' end, to which the tRNAs corresponding amino acid is attached (by aminoacyl-tRNA synthetases). tRNAs cope with the degeneracy of the genetic code in two manners: having more than one tRNA (with a specific anti-codon) for a particular amino acid; and 'wobble' base-pairing, i.e. permitting non-standard base-pairing at the 3rd anti-codon position. Lineage: Eukaryota; Metazoa; Chordata; Mammalia; Artiodactyla; Bovidae. The record is from Rfam by way of RNAcentral.